RNAcentral lists this unclassified non-coding RNA (352 nucleotides) under uncultured Bartonella sp. Its description in RNAcentral is "partial 16S-23S ribosomal RNA intergenic spacer". Lineage: Bacteria; Pseudomonadati; Pseudomonadota; Alphaproteobacteria; Hyphomicrobiales; Bartonellaceae. The record is from RNAcentral.
UUGAUAAGCGUGAGGUCGGAGGUUCAAGUCCUCCCAGGCCCACCAAUUUACCUAUCCAUUUGCUUUUAUCCGUUUAUUUGCCGAUUUAUCGGUCCAUUGAAUUUAAGUGUUGGUAGCAGUUUUUAUAAUGAUGAGAAAUCAUGCUUAUAAAAGAACUCCUUAUAAAAGGCUUGUUUUUAAAAUGUGACGCUUAUCCAUUUCGCUUAGGCAAGAGAAACUUCAAGCGGUUCAAAUGCAAAAGGCUUUAAAUUUUGCAAAACACUUUGAAUUUUAAAGUGAUCCAAGUUCGUGAUCUCGAAUUUAAAAGUUUCGAAUGCUUUAUCCUUUUUUGGGGGCCGUAGCUCAGCUGGGA